UUUGCAAUCAUAUGACUUGUCGAGAUAGAUGGUGAGGAUUUACGGUGUAGCGUAUUCAUAAAAGGAUAUAAGGAUGAUUAUGUGAGAUGUGCAUGUGCGAGUGUGUGGUGCGAGAAGCAGGGGAUUCCUCCUCUACCUUUAUCUUUUCCCAAAGAGAAUAAUUCUCCCAUUUCUCUCCCUCACUCUUCGGCUCUCUGUCUCUCUCUCCUCUCCUCCGAAACUUUCUCUCCUCUCUUCUCUCUUCGAUUUCAUCCACCUAGGGUGUGGUUCCGGACAAGGCCCGAGAAUUAAAGUUGCUAUUCGGAGUACGAGCUUUCCGAAUAUCCAAGAAAAAUCAUGAUCGGACCUCGUGGAGCUACGGUUGACUUGGUCAAAUUGUCGGGUUUUGCUCAAAACCGUUGAGGUACACUACAGAGACACAAUCUUGGAGGGUGUGAAGUGCAUGCAGACAUUACAGGCUAAAGUUAUUUUCUGAAGUACUUGUUUUUCUUCGUAAAUCAAAUUGCAUUGUACUAUUUUCUCUAUUUUGGAAUACUGUAUCAGUUGAUAGAUUUGUGAGAUUCAUAAACUGUAUUGUUAUUUGGGGUAUCGUAUGUACUAUUGUGAGGAUUUAUAUUUAAAAUGGUAUUAUUAUUUAAGUUUAAAA
Rhododendron vialii is the source of this 646-nucleotide long non-coding RNA. RefSeq lists it as uncharacterized. Lineage: Eukaryota; Viridiplantae; Streptophyta; Magnoliopsida; Ericales; Ericaceae. The transcript is spliced from 2 exons. The record is from RefSeq and is a predicted model, not a curated record.